AUUGAACGCUGGCGGCAUGCUUUACACAUGCCAGUCGAACGGCAGCGCGGGCUUCGGCCUGGCGGCGAGUGGCGAACGGGUGAGUAAUGCAUCGGAACGUGCCCAGUAGUGGGGGAUAGCCCGGCGAAAGCCGGAUUAAUACCGCAUACGACCUGAGGGUGAAAGCGGGGGACCGAAAGGCCUCGCGCUAUUGGAGCGGCCGAUGUCGGAUUAGCUAGUUGGUGGGGUAAAGGCUUACCAAGGCGACGAUCCGUAGCUGGUCUGAGAGGACGACCAGCCACACUGGGACUGAGACACGGCCCAGACUCCUACGGGAGGCAGCAGUGGGGAAUUUUGGACAAUGGGGGCAACCCUGAUCCAGCCAUGCCGCGGGCGGGAAGAAGGCCUUCGGGUUGUAAACCGCUUUUGUUCGGGAAGAAAUCCUCUGGGCUAAUACCCCGGGGGGAUGACGGUACCGGAAGAAUAAGCACCGGCUAACUACGU
This 483-nucleotide ribosomal RNA is filed under the name uncultured bacterium. Its description in RNAcentral is "partial 16S ribosomal RNA". It matches the Rfam family "Bacterial small subunit ribosomal RNA", at positions 28 to 506 of the family's 1533-position model. The record is from RNAcentral.